CAAAGCUAGCUAAGUGAGGUGCUGGGCUUUGAGAAGAAGAUGUGAGGCUCUGGCCUAGAGGCCUCCCGACUCCUUCCUAAAGUUGAGAAAGUGUUAACUAGAUUUUGUGAAGGAGGAGGGAGGAUUCUGGGACUCUGUCAGAGCCCUCAUGCUUCCUUCACAAAGCCCAGUGCCUCAUUUACCUGGCUUUG
Molecule: non-coding RNA, 191 nt
Organism: Podarcis lilfordi (Lilford's wall lizard)
Lineage: Eukaryota; Metazoa; Chordata; Lepidosauria; Squamata; Lacertidae
Source: the annotation of a GenBank genome assembly